CGUGUAGGCGGAUGGGGACGUCGGUUGCUGAAAUCCCCCGGCUCAACCGGGGAACGGGCGCCGAAACGCCCCGUCUGGAGGGACGUAGGGGGACCUGGAACUUCCGGUGGAGCGGUGAAAUGCGUUGAGAUCGGAAGGAACGCCCGUGGCGAAAGCGAGGUCCUGGACGUUUUCUGACGCUGAGACGCGAAAGCUAGGGUAGCGAACG
Molecule: ribosomal RNA, 208 nt
Filed under: uncultured bacterium
Lineage: Bacteria
Description: partial 16S ribosomal RNA
Rfam family: Bacterial small subunit ribosomal RNA
Source: RNAcentral